GAAAUGCGAUAAGUAGUGUGAAUUGCAGAAUUCCGUGAAUCAUCGAAUCUUUGAACGCACAUUGCGCCCCCUGGUAUUCCGGGGGGCAUGCCUGUUCGAGCGUCAUUAAAUACCACUCAAGCUCUUUUGCUUGGUCAUGGAAGAAGAGUGUGCUUGCAUUCUCCCUUCUGAAAUCAAAUGGCGGACUGCCUCAUGUGCCUGGCGUAGUAAGUUUAUCUUUUCGCCUGGAGUCUGAGAUAGUCUUGCCAUCAACCCCCAUAUUUCUAAGGUUGACCUCGGAUCAGGUAGGGAUACCCGCUGAACUUAA
This 307-nucleotide unclassified non-coding RNA is filed under the name uncultured Pyronemataceae. Its description in RNAcentral is "sequence contains ITS1". The stretch from base 1 to 105 matches the Rfam family "5.8S ribosomal RNA", at positions 50 to 154 of the family's 154-position model. Lineage: Eukaryota; Fungi; Ascomycota; Pezizomycetes; Pezizales; Pyronemataceae. The record is from RNAcentral.